UGAUUUUAGAUUUUCUUUUUAUUUACUUCUGUGAACACAACUGCUGGAUUUAAUAUCUGCAAUUCUUCUUCCGCUGUCUAAUUUAUUGAAUUUGCAGUCUCCAUUCUCUGUUACCUGACUGUUGGAAUAUGUAUAUUAGAAAAAUGGUAUACCCAUCUGUUGUUGGAUAGUGUUGUUUUUCCAUUUUCUUUUUGUUUCUCUCUCAAACUCAUCUGAUUACCAAAGAGUUUUUGCACAGUGUGUUUUAGGUGUUGUAUGUCAUGUUGUUUUCUAGGAGGUGCAGGCACAAACAUGACAUGUACCGUAGAUUAAGAGGUAUAGUGAGUGAGGGAGCACCGUCCUGGGCCCAGCUCUUUACUAGCUCUCAUGAGGAAUCUAAGGCCUAUAUCAAACUAGUCAUCCAGAUUUAGGAAGGGGAAGGUAUGGGAACAAAGGAAGGGGAAGGUAUGGGAAUGCUGUGCUCCUUCAUAGAACUGGAAGGAAUUCUAAAUCAUUUUAGAACUCUUGGAGUGAAUUCCAGAACCUUCUCAGCACCCAUUGGUACAAUGAAUUAGAAUAGAACUCUUAGAAUGAAAUCUGAUUUUUAUACUGAACAAAAAUAUAAAUGCAACAUGCAACAAUUUCAAAGAUUUUACUGAGUUACAAUUCAUAUGAGGAAAUCAGUCAAUUUAAAUUAAUGAAUGAAUCUACGGAUUUCACAUGACUGGGAAUACAGAUCUGUUGGUCAUAGAUACCUUAAAUGAAAUGGGCCUCACAAUGGUCCUCAGGAUCUCGCCACGAUAUAUCUGUGCAUUCAAAUUGCCAUCGAUAAAAUGCAAUUGUGUUUGUUGUCCGUAGCUUAUGCCUGUCCAUACCAUAAUCCCCACCGCCACCAUGGGGCACUCUGUUCACAUGACGCCAUACAAGUGGUCUGCGGUUGUUAGGCCGGUUUGACAUACUGCCAAAUUCUCUAAAACGAUGUUGGAGGCGGCUUACGGUAGAGAAAUUAAUAUUCAAUUCUCUGGCAACAGCUCUGGUGGACAUUCCUACAGUCAGCAUGCCAAUUGCAUGUUUCUCAAAACUUGGGAUAUCUGUGGCAUUGUGUUGUGACAAAACUGCACAUUUUAGAGUGGCCUUUUAUUGUCCCCAGCACAAGGUGCACCUGUGUAAUGAUCAUGCUGUUUAAUCAGCUUCUUGAUAUGCCACACCUGUCAGGUGGAUGGAUUAUCUGGAAAAGGAGAAAUGCUCACUAACAGGGAUAUAAGCUUUUUGUGCAUAUGGAACAUUUCUGGGAUAUUUUAUUUCAGUUCAUGAAACAUGGAACAACACUUUACAUGUUGCGUUUCUAUUUUUGUUCAGUGUAGAACUCUGAGAAUGAAUUAUAAUUCUAUGAAUUAUCUGGUCCCUGUCUAUUUAGGAGAAUGUCUUCUGUGCAGUAGCACGCCCCUGGUUUUGGGUUCAAGUUUAAAGGUCUCCUCUACUCCACACAGUCUUUAAGCCCAAGAGAAGACCGGGUCAGCUACACUUGGAGCAGGAGGGCCAACUGUGCUCUACCAUAAUAGUCUUGGUUUUCUGGGGCUUUUUAAUAUUUCUGUUGUUCAUUCAGCCCUGUCCAACUGGGAAAGGUUUUAUAUUUAAGAAAUAAAAUGAAGAAUGUUUAUCAAAAA
Molecule: long non-coding RNA, 1646 nt
Filed under: Salmo salar (Atlantic salmon)
Lineage: Eukaryota; Metazoa; Chordata; Actinopteri; Salmoniformes; Salmonidae
Description: lncRNA (ENSSSAG00000083623.1)
Source: RNAcentral